GACGAACGCUGGCGGCGUGCUUAACACAUGCAAGUCGAACGAUGAUCUCCCGCUUGCGGGGGUGAUUAGUGGCGAACGGGUGAGUAAUACGUGAGUAACCUGCCCUUGACUCUGGGAUAAGCCUGGGAAACCGGGUCUAAUACUGGAUACUACUUCCUGCCGCAUGGUGGGGGGUGGAAAGGGUUUUACUGGUUUUGGAUGGGCUCACGGCCUAUCAGCUUGUUGGUGGAGUAAUGGCUCACCAAGGCGACGACGGGUAGCCGGCCUGAGAGGGUGACCGGCCACACUGGGACUGAGACACGGCCCAGACUCCGACGGGAGGCAGCAGUGGGGAAUAUUGCACAAUGGGCGGAAGCCUGAUGCAGCGACGCCGCGUGAGGGAUGACGGCCUUCGGGUUGGAAACCUCUUUCAGCAGGGAAGAAGCCACAAGUGACGGUACCUGCAGAAGAAGCGCCGGCUAACUACGUG
Molecule: ribosomal RNA, 469 nt
Filed under: uncultured bacterium
Lineage: Bacteria
Description: partial 16S ribosomal RNA
Rfam family: Bacterial small subunit ribosomal RNA
Source: RNAcentral